UUGAAUUUUAAAUCCUCCACAGAUUUCAUCCAACACAGACCUCACAUUACUUAAGUGUGUAAUGGAGAAGUCGUACCAACUGGUCGACUUUUAGACUAGCCGAUGACUUUUUGUUUCACAUCUAUUAGUCACAAUCACAUGACAGGAACUGGGUGGGAAAUGUCAGAUAGUUUCAGCUGUAUAAACAAUGUGUAAGUAAAUUAUCAAAGGGGUUCMRCWAGCUCUGGCAAAGACUACCGGAAUAUCGUGCAACUUGUUACAUGUUUGGCUCUUUCUCAUCCGUUUAACUGAUUUUCAACAUGAUCAGCGUCAUCCUGCGUGUUGAAGGGCCUAUCAUGGCAGUAUUAGUGUUUAUAAAAACACUGUAUGACAGCAGAAAAAUCUCUACCCCUGUUGUCGUUGGCAGGUCGGUUCAUCUCACAAAGUCAGAGAGCCGCUGCCUGGAGUCUCUGGAGCAGCCUGCUGCGCAUCGAGGGAGAGCCGCCUGAAGCAGCAGGCCACAGGGACAGAAGUUCACCAGAGCUGGCGCUGAAGAAGUCUGGAAUAACGUUCUUGUUAUUCUGCAUAACAUACUGCUGUCCAAGCUGUCUUUUGUCGGUAUUUGCUGUGAAAAUAUUUUAUAAAGCUUGGAAGCUUCUGCGAA
Long non-coding RNA from Poecilia reticulata (guppy), 643 nucleotides. RefSeq lists it as uncharacterized. NCBI's taxonomy places the organism in Eukaryota, Metazoa, Chordata, Actinopteri, Cyprinodontiformes, Poeciliidae. The record is from RefSeq and is a predicted model, not a curated record.